UGUUAGGUUAGGGAACAAAACCAAUAAGAAAAAUCUUCUUUCAACCCAUCAAACAAUAUUUGUUUGGUAGUAAUGCAGUCAGCCAUAAUUCUUACACUGUAUUAGGAACACCUGCUCAAUCUGCAAUUAUCCAAUCAGCCAAUCAAGAGGCAGCAGCACAAAGAAUAAAAUCAUGCAGAUGCAGGUCAAGAGCUUCAGCUUCAGGAAAAAUGUGAUUUUAGAGACUUUAAUCCUGGUGCCAGAUAUUUGAGGUUGAUGUUUGCUGAUCUCCUGGUAUUUUCAUGCACAACAGUCUCUAGACUUUACAUAGAAUAGUGUGACAUUGAUUGAGCAGCAGCUCUGCCAGCAGAAACGUCUUGUUGAUGAGUGAGGUCUGAGGAGAAUUGCCAGAUUGGUUUAAGCUGAGAAAUCUACAGUAACUUGAAUACCACUCCCAACAACUGUGGUCCUUUGGUUUCCCAAAAUCUGGAUGGAUGGAUGGAUGGAUAGAUAGAGCUCAGAUUCUAACUGUGGACCAUGGAGCUGUGAGGUGGCAAUGCUAUCCACUGCACUGCUCUGACUAGUUCAUUUUAUCAAAAACGAAUAAUUACAUAAUUACCUCAGAUUGAAUCAGGAACAUGAUACACACUGUACUGCUCCUGAAUCCCCUGCUCCGGUGGUACAAAUGGUACUGCAAGCGGAGAUUUUGGGGUCGUGGAGAGCCUGGAGCCUAUCCCAGGGAACUUGGGACACAAGGCGGGGACACCCUGGAGAGGGUAUCAAUCCCAUGACAGGGCACACUCUCACAUUAUUAUAUAUGGACAAUUUAGAGAUGCCUACAACGCAUAUCUUUGGACUGGGGUAAACCUCAGAAGCACAGGGAGAACAUGCAAGCUCUGCACACACAAGCUCUCAGCAGAGGCAGGAAUUGAACCCCCAAUCCUGGAGGUGUUAACCACUAAGCCACCGUGCCCCCGAUGACACCGGCUGUGUACUGAUAAAGUAUUUAGUGUGGUAGUAUGCAGUAUUUGGGAUGUAGCCCAAGUAUUUGGGAAGUAGCUUGAGAGUGGUGCAAAAGGAAGUUGCAUGAAGUUAACAACAUUAUGCAAAUGAAAAAUUAAUAUCUUCAGGAUGUGGGCAAUCAGAUGAGUCAUUUUUAAUCUAAUCUCUGUGUAUUGUUGUCCAGCCUGUCAAACACAUCAAAAUAGAUAGUCUUAGCAUGCCAGAUAAUAUGCAAAACAAUAAAUAUACACAAGGGUGAGAUAAAACCCUGGAUGAUUCACUCUCAUGUGAUAUAACCAAGUUGAAAAUGCUGUAAUAAAAGAAUCACACAAACACCUUCUGUUAGUCACUAGAUGGCUAUUAUGAGUUUCCUAGCUAAAUCACUUGAAACCUAAAUAACUAAACAACUAUGUAAUGAUAUAAACUCUACAGCAAAGAUAAACUGGCUGACUAUCAUCUUUCAUUCCCACCAAACAAGACAGCAAAUAAAUGCCUUACCUGGUCAGCAUGAAAUAUUAUACUCGACCCCCUGACACUGCAUUGAAUGUGAACCACUAUUACAGGAUUAUCAGGGUGACUGACAGCAGCUCAGGAAUAUCAUAUUAUAAAAAAAUAAGGUGUUUUCCUGACUCAAUUAUUAUGUUACUUUUCCAUUUUUUAACACUGUAAAUUUAAGGAACCAGAGUCAUUUCUUUCACAUUCCAUUCCCGAGUCUGUGACCGUGUGGUUGGACACUGUGAUGGGAACAACACUAUGUGUGAUGUGUGAUGAUAGCCAAAACCUUUGACCCCUCGUGUG
Ictalurus punctatus (channel catfish) is the source of this 1779-nucleotide long non-coding RNA. RefSeq lists it as uncharacterized. The transcript has 4 exons. The record is from RefSeq and is a predicted model, not a curated record. NCBI's taxonomy places the organism in Eukaryota, Metazoa, Chordata, Actinopteri, Siluriformes, Ictaluridae.